CGGUAGUGAUCACUUUCCUGAGCAUUGAUAGUAACACUCCGCAACAUCUAGUUAAAGAGAUCAGCCCAUCUCAGCCUACAAUCAGACUGCACACUUGGUUUCUUCCUGCCUCCAUUGAACGUCCAUAUCUCUCAGAAUGUUGCCAUCCCGUACUACAGCCUACCGGUUGAUGUACGAAAGCUAUCUGUGAACGUGAAAACGACACAGGAGGCGGCCGAAAGGGCCCACAAGACACUCAUCAGCCGGCGAUUUAAGGUUGUGCAUAUGCCAUCGGUGGUUGGAAGAGGAGCCAAAAUGGUAAAGGCAAGGAUUGUAGCAGUGGGCGAGAGGAUGUUGAGCCUAGCAAUGCCACUGGGGACUGCGUUGAUUAGAUGCAGAGAAUCAAGAGCUAGCUAAAAACGUUUAGCAUAUUGAUCAAAGCGAAGAGAAAGGGUGCACUGCAGGCCAAGCAAUACAAAGAGGGCAGGAGGGACCACAAGCAGCGCUGCUUCUAUAUUACCCGUUCCAGGAGACGCUUUGCUGUAUUACUGACAUACAGUGGAGAGGAAUUCAUGUCAUCAACAAAGUUUUGAUCCAAAAGAACAUCUCCUGAACCAUCAGCUGCGGAAUUGUAUCUAGCAUGUAAAGCUCCCUUAAGAUCAUACUGGCGAGUAAUGUUUCGACCAAAGGUAAGAUUCUCCAUGACCAUUAGAUCAUGCUUGAUCUCUUUCCCGCUUUUUGUCUGUCUAAGGAUCACCUGAAAAAUUGCAUGGAAAUAAUUAAGUUUUUGAAGAACAAAGCUAAAAGGAUAAAAAGUUAUGAAAUCAAGAAACCAAACCUGAUAAAUCCCCAGAACUUUUGCAAGGCAAGUUUGGUUUCCCGACUCAAAUGACUCGUUCAUGUAUUUGAAAUAAUGUGGAGCAAACUUCACAAAUGACUCAAAUUCUGUCUUCUUGAUUUCCUUUAUAAUAAAUCUGUCAUCAAGUGUCUUUGCAAAAAAGGAUUUGCUCUUUCCACCUUUUGCAUCCCAAUUCUUACAACGACUUAAGGAAGCGAUAUAAUCAAGUUCAGAUGGACAGCAUCGAUUCCGAAGAUCAUGGAACUGCUUAGCAUAUAGACAAAUUACUGAGUAUUUACCCUUUCCAAGUGAUUUUGACCGCCCAAAAGCGACUUCAGGGCUAAGAUUUUCUAGACGAACAAGUGAUUCCAACAAAUUCAGCCCAUCAAAGCUGGACAAGCGCGACUCGUCCGAAGAAAUGUUUAGCAUAGAAUGGACAGAAUCUGUAUCAGAACCAUUAGAGGACCAAUGUGGGGAGAUCAUUGUAGGAAUUCGAGUAAGUAUGUCUAAACUAUCAGUUGAUUUCAAAGACAUGUUACCCUCUUUCCUAUCAUCUUCAUUGUAAAGCUCUGUUGAAAUAGGUUGACCUUUCAAAAAUGCCAGUGCACAGGCAAUUAUGCUAGAGAGUUCAUCAUCAUAAUCUUUCACCAUAUAAUUAUCAGUUCCAAGAGGGAUGUGCAGCCUCCGGCAUUCCUCAGUGAUUAGCUGAUGGGCUGCAGACAUGUGUUCCUGAAUAUUGCUACUGAUAGGCUGAAAUUUUGGCAUGAAACCUCUCUGAAGAUCCUUCAUGUAGAUCUGUCGGAUUUCUGGAAAUGGCAUCCAGAACCAUCCAUUUGAGUUCUCUAAGCUGGAUGCCAAAGAACGUGCAGACGUACCCUUUUUAAUUGAAUCAGAAUCAACAAAAGAAUCACUGCUCCCUAUACCUGUAGUAAUUGGAAUGGUUCUUUCAACUUGUACAUCAGAUAAAUAAUCUGCUUGGCAAUUUCCAUCAUCAGAAUGCUGGUGGGCAGAGCCACUAGGUUUCACAGAUAGUUCUUGGUUGAUAAAUCUGUUCUGGCUCAGACCACUCACUCUUGACCUCUCAAUAUCCUCAGCCACAGCAGAUGAGGUGUAAAGAUUAUCCUGCUUCCUAAAUUCAUGAACAUGAUCAUCAACUGGAAUUUCUUUGAUUGAAAA
This is a long non-coding RNA of Populus nigra (black poplar), 1993 nucleotides long. RefSeq lists it as uncharacterized. Lineage: Eukaryota; Viridiplantae; Streptophyta; Magnoliopsida; Malpighiales; Salicaceae. The transcript has 3 exons. The record is from RefSeq and is a predicted model, not a curated record.